Molecule: non-coding RNA, 90 nt
Organism: Vitis vinifera (wine grape)
Lineage: Eukaryota; Viridiplantae; Streptophyta; Magnoliopsida; Vitales; Vitaceae
Source: Rfam
GGCUCUGUGAUUGCAUGCCUGAUUGGGCAAUAUACGCUAUUCCGACUCGAUUCAUGAGCUGAGAAUCUCUGAGAAAAGAGUAUGAGAGUC